UGGGGGAUAUUGCACAAUGGGGGGAACCCUGAUGCAGCGACGCCGCGUGAGUGAAGAAGUAUUUCGGUAUGUAAAGCUCUAUCAGCAGGGAAGAAGAAAGACGGUACCUGAGUAAGAAGCCCCGGCUAACUACGUGCCAGCAGCCGCGGUAAUACGUAGGGGGCAAGCGUUAUCCGGAUUUACUGGGUGUAAAGGGAGCGUAGACGGUAUGGCAAGUCUGAAGUGAAAGCCCCGGGCUCAACCUGGGAAUUGCUUUGGAAACUGUUAAACUAGAGUGCUGGAGAGGCAGGCGGAAUUCCUAGU
This 303-nucleotide ribosomal RNA is filed under the name uncultured bacterium. RNAcentral describes it as "bacterial SSU rRNA". It matches the Rfam family "Bacterial small subunit ribosomal RNA", at positions 355 to 674 of the family's 1533-position model. The record is from RNAcentral.